GCGGAAGGUCAGCGCUGUCGCAUUCGCUCUUCGACACUCGAGCGAGCACGCAGUGGAACGAGAGCCGUGCCCGUCUUUGCGUUUAUUACUACUCUUGUCGCGAUCGCGACAAGCAAAAAGUGUCAUCAAAGGAUAUUAUAUACCACACAUCUAUUACGAUAAGAGCUUCUUAGCGUGCACGAUAAAAAAUUUAAAAAUACAUCGACGCCGCGACGACUCUAUAGAGAAGACGAUUUGCAUAAAGCGGUGAAACUGACUUCGAGGGAGCGGAGAUUCAUAAAGUUUGCAUCAGCGGCGUACGAUGGUCAACUGUACAUGACUCCGCAGGACUUUCUCGACAGUGUCGUCGACGACGAACCACGACCGAGACUAAAGAGGCGUGUGCUGACCGAUCAGGAGCUCGAAGUGAUGAGAAAUUCGACCGCCUUGCUACGCCACGGAAACACACACAUGUUCCGAAAUUUGCGAGACAAAGGUAAUCAAGAUAUACAAAGAUA
Molecule: long non-coding RNA, 497 nt
Organism: Vollenhovia emeryi
Lineage: Eukaryota; Metazoa; Arthropoda; Insecta; Hymenoptera; Formicidae
Exons: 3
Source: RefSeq, a predicted model, not a curated record